This 550-nucleotide ribosomal RNA is filed under the name uncultured bacterium. RNAcentral's name for it is "bacterial SSU rRNA". It matches the Rfam family "Bacterial small subunit ribosomal RNA", at positions 844 to 1398 of the family's 1533-position model. The record is from RNAcentral.
UAACGCAGCUAACGCGUGAAGUAGACCGCCUGGGGAGUACGGUCGCAAGAUUAAAACUCAAAGGAAUUGACGGGGACCCGCACAAGCGGUGGAUGAUGUGGAUUAAUUCGAUGCAACGCGAAAAACCUUACCUACCCUUGACAUGGCAGGAAUCCUGGAGAGAUCUGGGAGUGCUCGAAAGAGAACCUGCACACAGGUGCUGCAUGGCUGUCGUCAGCUCGUGUCGUGAGAUGUUGGGUUAAGUCCCGCAACGAGCGCAACCCUUGUCAUUAGUUGCUACGCAAGAGCACUCUAAUGAGACUGCCGGUGACAAACCGGAGGAAGGUGGGGAUGACGUCAAGUCCUCAUGGCCCUUAUGGGUAGGGCUUCACACGUCAUACAAUGGUACAUACAGAGGGCCGCCAACCCGCGAGGGGGAGCUAAUCCCAGAAAGUGUAUCGUAGUCCGGAUCGUAGUCUGCAACUCGACUACGUGAAGUUGGAAUCGCUAGUAAUCGCGGAUCAGCAUGUCGCGGUGAAUACGUUCCCGGGUCUUGUACUCACCGCCCGUC